AGAGUUUGAUUCUGGCUCAGGAUUAGCGCUGGCGGCAUGCCUAAUACAUGCAAGUCGAAUGGUAGCUUGCUAACCAUGGCGAACGGGUGAGUAACACGUAGGUAACCUGUCUUCAAGACGAGGAUAACCAUUGGAAACGAUGGAUAAUACUGGAUAGGACAAAUCCCCCGCAUGAGGAGAUGUUUAAAGGAGCAAUCCACUUGAUGAGGGGCCUGCGGUGCAUUAGUUAGUUGGUGAGGUAACGGCCCACCAAGACGAUGAUGCAUAGCCGGACUGAGAGGUUGAACGGCCACAAUGGAACUGAGAACGGUCCAUACUCCUACGGGAGGCAGCAGUAGGGAAUUUUCGGCAAUGGGCGGAAGCCUGGAACCCGAGCAAUGCCGCGUGAAUGAAGAAGUUAUUUCGGUAUGUAAAGUUCUUUUAUUUGGGAAGAAAAAACAAAUUGACGGUACCAAAUGAAUAAGCUCCGGCUAACUACGUGCCAGCAGCGGC
This 492-nucleotide ribosomal RNA is filed under the name uncultured bacterium. RNAcentral describes it as "bacterial SSU rRNA". It matches the Rfam family "Bacterial small subunit ribosomal RNA", at positions 8 to 518 of the family's 1533-position model. The record is from RNAcentral.